GCGCGGGACUGGGCUGGACCAGACAGAACCGCUAAGUCAUCGCUGGGCGCGGAGGAGGAGGAGCGAGGGGUCACUGAAGGGCGGCGACCGGCCGAAGGCAGCUGUCCAGGGCCUAAGACAAGACUUGCCUCGUUAAAAAUUCAGGUUGUGUAGUCUUAAAAGUGACAUCCAGAAGCCUCAUAAACCCACCUACGUAGGAACACAGCAGUUGUAGAGGUGGAGAGAGGAGCAACCAGAAUUAGAGUUCAAAUAUACCUGACCAACAGCUGUGACACACUGGGGACUUUAACAUUCACUGGGGACUGUAAACUUUGACACAGAUCACUUAAUUCUCUGAA
RNAcentral lists this long non-coding RNA (338 nucleotides) under Canis lupus familiaris (dog). RNAcentral describes it as "lncRNA (ENSCAFG00040021949.1)". Lineage: Eukaryota; Metazoa; Chordata; Mammalia; Carnivora; Canidae. The record is from RNAcentral.